This 433-nucleotide ribosomal RNA is filed under the name uncultured bacterium. Its description in RNAcentral is "partial 16S ribosomal RNA". It matches the Rfam family "Bacterial small subunit ribosomal RNA", at positions 29 to 507 of the family's 1533-position model. The record is from RNAcentral.
AGCGAACGCUGGCGGCAGGCCUAACACAUGCAAGUCGAACGAACUCUUCGGAGUUAGUGGCGGCCGGGUGAGUAACACGUUGGAACGUGCCUUUUGGUUCGGCAUAACUCAGGGAAACUUGUUCUAAUACCGAAUGUGCCCUUCGGGGGUAAGAUUUAUCGCCAUUAGAGCGGCCCGCGUCUGAUUAGCUAGUUGGUGAGGUAACGGCUCACCAAGGCGACGAUCAGUAGCUGGUCUGAGAGGAUGACCAGCCACACUGGGACUGAGACACGGCCCAGACUCCUACGGGAGGCAGCAGUGGGGAAUCGUGCGCAAUGGGCGAAAGCCUGACGCAGCCAUGCCGCGUGAAUGAUGAAGGUCUGAGGAUGGGAAAAUUCUUUCACCGGGGACGAUAAUGACGGGACCCGGAGAAGAAGCCCCGGCUAACUUCGUG